CGCCACGACCUCUUUGUCAAAAAAAUGACACUUCUCGUGUAUCAUUUUCAAAAGUGAAAAGCAGCCACGUAAAAUGGACAGGAAAAAGACGAACAAGCGAUAAAUUACCUGCCUCGUUGAUUUAUGGUCAACAAGAAGGGGCGUGACACUUCCAAUAACUUAUAAAUUAUUAUACAAUUAUAAUGUUUUUGUAGAUUUAUAGACGAUUAUAAUUUUAUAGACAGCUUAUACUUAUACAAUUUUCGAACUUGUUUUCGAACUUAUUCUCAGUGUGCGGUGAAUUUGUGUGAGUUGUCACUUUUAUUGUUUACAUUGUUGAAAUCAAGACGUGCAUAACUAAAAUUUUAAAAUCGAACGCUUUUGUACUUGCGCCAUAAAAAAAGAUAUCCGGAAACGAUCACAGAGGUCAAAUUGCUUAUGGGAUAGCAGAAUAUUGAACAAACCUCUCACGAGUUCUGGUGUUGAAUUUGAGCAAUAUUCCGGCCAGCCCGGCAGGAUCUGCACAACGAGCUAAUCAUAUUCCAGACAUCAAUGCCGGUAUGUUCCGGGUAGUGUAUUCAACGCCAGAGUAUGACCGGGGACGCGGGUAAUUAUAUGCUACAGCAAAUAUCCGAUCAACUGGUACUGAUUGCAAUCAACGACGCUCACUGUGUGAGUGACUGACGGGUGACGAUUUUCGCCCGGCUUAAGGACAUCUCCGUGUAAUUCGUACGGAUUCGCAUUUUAGCAUUGAUGGCAACUGCAACUUCCAAUGUUCGUGAAGAUAUUGUGGCAAACCUUGGUUUGCGUAAUCUGCAAGUUUUGUGCACUAGGUUCGAUCGACCGAAUCGGAAGCUUUAUGUUAAAAUUAAGGGCUCCCUUGGUGUGUGGAAGGAUCUUUGAGGAUUGCUUAGCAAAAACACUGAAGGCAGCAUCAUAAUCUACUACUGACUCGGAAGGAAACGGAAGAGAUUGUGGAGCUGUUGAAGAGCAAACGAAUUGAUUGUGAGCCGUAUCAUGCGGGUCUUUUACUGAAACAGAGGCUUUCUGUACACAAAAACUGUCCGAGGCCGCAUUCAGAUUAUUGUAGCUAUGACAGCUUUCGGAAUGGGAAUUGACAAACCGGAUGUUAGAUUGGUCAUUCACUAUGGUGCGGCGAAGGAUUUAGAAAGUUAUUAUCAGGAAGUCUGUAGAGCUGACCGGUAUGGACAACCAUCCAAGUGUAUUAUGUUUAAGAGUA
Molecule: long non-coding RNA, 1219 nt
Organism: Topomyia yanbarensis
Lineage: Eukaryota; Metazoa; Arthropoda; Insecta; Diptera; Culicidae
Exons: 3
Source: RefSeq, a predicted model, not a curated record